UGAGGAAUAUUGGGCAAUGCCCGCAAGGGUGACCCGGCAACGCCGCGUGGAGGAUGAAUGUCGUAAGAUUGUAAACUCCUGUUAGAGGGGAAGAAUAGUACCGGUUGGACCGGUAUAUGACUGUACCCUCAGAGAAAGCCCCGGCUAACUACGUGCCAGCAGCCGCGGUAAUACGUAGGGGGCAAGCGUUGUCCGGAUUUACUGGGUGUAAAGGGCGCGCAGGCGGGAUAAAAAGUCAGUGGUGAAAUCCUACAGCUUAACUGUAGAACUGCCUUUGAUACUUUUAUUCUUGAGUUCGGGAGAGAGAGACGGAAUUCCAGGUGUAGUGGUGAAAUACGUAGAUAUCUGGAAGAACACCAGUUGCGAAGGCGGUCUCUUGGUCCGACACUGACGCUGAGGCGCGAAAGCGUGGGGAGCAAACA
RNAcentral lists this ribosomal RNA (422 nucleotides) under uncultured bacterium. RNAcentral's name for it is "bacterial SSU rRNA". It matches the Rfam family "Bacterial small subunit ribosomal RNA", at positions 355 to 774 of the family's 1533-position model. The record is from RNAcentral.